This 253-nucleotide ribosomal RNA is filed under the name uncultured bacterium. Its description in RNAcentral is "partial 16S ribosomal RNA". It matches the Rfam family "Bacterial small subunit ribosomal RNA", at positions 524 to 776 of the family's 1533-position model. The record is from RNAcentral.
UACAGAGGUCUCAAGCGUUGUUCGGAUUCAUUGGGCGUAAAGGGUGUGUAGGUGGCGCGCUAAGUCGGGUGUGAAAUUUCGGAGCUUAACUCCGAAACUGCAUUCGAUACUGGCGUGCUUGAGGACUGGAGAGGAGACUGGAAUUUACGGUGUAGCAGUGAAAUGCGUAGAUAUCGUAAGGAAGACCAGUGGCGAAGGCGGGUCUCUGGACAGUUCCUGACACUGAGGCACGAAGGCCAGGGGAGCAAACGGG